ACUGGAGGACCGAACCGACUAAUGUUGAAAAAUUAGCGGAUGACUUGUGGCUGGGGGUGAAAGGCCAAUCAAACCGGGAGAUAGCUGGUUCUCCCCGAAAGCUAUUUAGGUAGCGCCUCGUGAAUUCAUCUCCGGGGGUAGAGCACUGUUUCGGCAAGGGGGUCAUCCCGACUUACCAACCCGAUGCAAACUGCGAAUACCGGAGAAUGUUAUCACGGGAGACACACGGCGGGUGCUAACGUCCGUCGUGAAGAGGGAAACAACCCAGACCGCCAGCUAAGGUCCCAAAGUCAUGGUUAAGUGGGAAACGAUGUGGGAAGGCCCAGACAGCCAGGAUGUUGGCUUAGAAGCAGCCAUCAUUUAAAGAAAGCGUAAUAGCUCACUGGUCGAGUCGGCCUGCGCGGAAGAUGUAACGGGGCUAAACCAUGCACCGAAGCUGCGGCAGCGACGCUUAUGCGUUGUUGGGUAGGGGAGCGUUCUGUAAGCCUGUGAAGGUGUGCUGUGAGGCAUGCUGGAGGUAUCAGAAGUGCGAAUGCUGACAUAAGUAACGAUAAAGCGGGUGAAAAGCCCGCUCGCCGGAAGACCAAGGGUUCCUGUCCAACGUUAAUCGGGGCAGGGUGAGUCGACCCCUAAGGCGAGGCCGAAAGGCGUAGUCGAUGGGAAACAGGUUAAUAUUCCUGUACUUGGUGUUACUGCGAAGGGGGGACGGAGAAGGCUAUGUUGGCCGGGCGACGGUUGUCCCGGUUUAAGCGUGUAGGCUGGUUUUCCAGGCAAAUCCGGAAAAUCAAGGCUGAGGCGUGAUGACGAGGCACUACGGUGCUGAAGCAACAAAUGCCCUGCUUCCAGGAAAAGCCUCUAAGCAUCAGGUAACAUCAAAUCGUACCCCAAACCGACACAGGUGGUCAGGUAGAGA
This 913-nucleotide ribosomal RNA is filed under the name Escherichia coli. RNAcentral describes it as "partial 23S ribosomal RNA". It matches the Rfam family "Bacterial large subunit ribosomal RNA", at positions 765 to 1677 of the family's 2925-position model. Lineage: Bacteria; Pseudomonadati; Pseudomonadota; Gammaproteobacteria; Enterobacterales; Enterobacteriaceae. The record is from RNAcentral.